UGGGGAAUAUUGCACAAUGGGGGAAACCCUGAUGCAGCGAUGCCGCGUGAGGGAAGAAGGUUUUCGGAUUGUAAACCUCUGUCGUCAGGGACGAUGAUGACGGUACCUGACAAGGAAGCUCCGGCUAACUACGUGCCAGCAGCCGCGGUAAUACGUAGGGAGCGAGCGUUGUCCGGAAUUACUGGGUGUAAAGGGAGCGUAGGCGGGAUGGCAAGUCAGAUGUGAAAACUAUGGGCUCAACCUGUAGACUGCAUUUGAAACUGCUGUUCUUGAGUGAAGUAGAGGCAGGCGGAAUUCCUAGUGUAGCGGUGAAAUGCGUAGAUAUUAGGAGGAACAUCAGUGGCGAAGGCGGCCUGCUGGGCUUUUACUGACGCUGAGGCUCGAAAGCGUGGGGAGCAAACAGG
This 404-nucleotide ribosomal RNA is filed under the name uncultured prokaryote. RNAcentral describes it as "bacterial SSU rRNA". It matches the Rfam family "Bacterial small subunit ribosomal RNA", at positions 355 to 776 of the family's 1533-position model. The record is from RNAcentral. RNAcentral also lists the same sequence under 1 other name.